AUUACUGCUGCAUGCGUGCAAGUCCUGUUUCUACGAUAUCAAAGGAUCAAGAUCUGUGACAGAAAUCAGAAUGAAACUCAAGUCUGGUAUCUUCCAUUGUCUGAGCUCCGCGAUAAUUAUAAGGAUCGUCACAAGAGGAGCCUAUACUAGCAGAAACCAAACAGUAAAACGGUCGUCUAUUGUUCUGACUGGAGAUGAUAUUCCAACAAUAUUUGAGAAGCUGAGAAGUGCCAGAAAAAAUUGGUUCAACUUGGGAAUGGCUCUCGGGGUGAGCUAUUACGAGUUGGAGAAUAUUCAAGAUCGAUAUACCAAGAUAACGAACGCCGCCUAAUGAAGAUGGUAGCCAAGCGUCUUGAAGUCACUGAUCCAGAACAUCCGAUGACAUGGCCUUACAUAUGUGAAUGUCUAAGGAGGCCUAUAUACUGUUGAGCGUAACGAUGUAGCCGAGGAAAUUGAAGACAAGUAUGUGAGGACAGCAACUGCAGUUGCUCAUAGUGCCACCAAUUGAUUAGGAGAACCUGACAAGAUACUGGAGUUACUUGAAAAGGGACAAUCGAGUAAAGAAGCAUGCAAGAAUGUCAAGUAAAGAACUAACUCUGUGUUGACUAUAAGUACUGACUAUUAUAAUGCUCUGUGUUCUGUGUGUGUGUGCAUACAUGUAUAUAAUUAUACCAUCACCUUCUAUUUUUAUACUUUUUUGGCAAAAUUUCAUUUCCAGCUUUCUAGAUUA
Molecule: long non-coding RNA, 730 nt
Organism: Halichondria panicea
Lineage: Eukaryota; Metazoa; Porifera; Demospongiae; Suberitida; Halichondriidae
Exons: 3
Source: RefSeq, a predicted model, not a curated record